CUCUAUUCCAUACAGGCACUGAGUUUCAAAAAAAGUUUGUAGGACUGCCCUUGCUGACUUCUCACAUCUCUCCUUCUGUAUGGCAUUGCACUCACUUGAAAUCUGUAAACGGUGACUGGGAAGGAGAAGGGAGAUAAAAGCCAUCAAAAAUAAAUGGGCAGGAAUAUGGUCAAUGACACUAGGUCAUUAAAAGGUAACAAUCACCAAGGAGUACCCUGUAAAAACCUGCCUUGUCAGUCAUCAGUUGAAAACCUUUUCAAAUUCCUGUCACAGAAGUAAUCGUGGUGCUGCAGCAGCUGUUAUGGUCUAAGGACAUAGUUGAAGAAAGGUAAAAUAGAAAUACAAGUCAAAUGAAAAGAAGAUGAUAUCUAUGGAGAUUCUCACUGAUCUUAACCUCCUACUUGACAGAGGUAAAAAGGAGCAGCUCCAACACCGACAACAUCUUCCAGCCUCUGGUUCAUGCUGUCUUUCAUGUCAGCUAGGACUAGCUCUUUAAACACAGCAGAUAGGCACUGUCCAGUCAAACAGUAGUACCUGAGCAUACCACUGGCUACAUCUCCCUAUCUUCUAGUAAGAGAAUGUUUUCUUACUAAUAUCAGAUUUCCACACUUUUAUAUAUCUUUUUCUUGAGCUUUGUUGGUAACUUGCAAAGAAAUUUUGGUACAUAUAGAACAGUGAGCAUCCACCACAAGGGAUCGCUCAAAAAUUACAAGCAAUAUUUAAGUGGAAAAUGUGCCUAUUAAGGUUACUGUGUGCACGGAUAUUUUGGCAAUUCAUUUGGAUAAAUAAACAAAUAAAUAAAUAAAUAUGAAAUAGCAAAAAGAGUGUUCAGUGUGAGUGAAGGCUGGUGGUACAAAUUCUAGACACUAUGAAAGAAGAAACAGACUUCUUUGUAGCUCCCUUUCAUUCUGUCCCUUCAAGAGAUUUGCUGCUUUGUCUUUUAUGGUUAUGUCAACAGUCUGUUGCUUGUUUCAAUAAUCUGUUUAUUUUUGUGACCUAUAGGCUCAUAGAAUACUGAAGGCUCUUUAGACACUGGUGAAGAACUGCAAGCUAGGGACGUGCAAGAGCUUCCCCAUGUGCCAGGGUGAGGGACAGCCCUGGGGGCAGAGUUGGCACAGUUGUUAGACCUUAUGGAACUGGCUUUUGCAAGCAGGACAAUGAAUGUGGAACUAACUAUUUUCAGAACAAAACACAAAACUCAUGUUCAGUUUGGCUUUUCAUAUGUUCAAAGUUAAACAACAUAACUAAUCCCUCACGCAAAGAGACACCACAAAUUUCACAGUUAGAAACAUACUCACAGACCUUCACAGACCUAAUCAAACUAUUUUUCAAAAAGUUGGGAAGGUGACAAGGAACUGGCACAUACUGAGGCAAUGGGGAUAUGCAGAUCGUGACAAUUGCAUGAUAGACAGAGCAGAUCCAAGCCAAGCUUAAGAAGAAACCCCAUGGGCAUACUACAUAAGGGACUACACAGGACACAUCUCCAUGUUUCAUGGUGAAGAAGUAGGUUCAGUUGCUUUUUGUGUGGUCCUGGCACACUCUUUUUCCCUUGCUUUUCCAUACCAGUUCUCCUUGCUGUUUGUAGCAUUUACAAUACGGAUGAAGUGGUUCAUUUGUCUUGGAUCCAUUGGCUUUUGUUUUCUGGUUUUUAUUUUUGUUUCAUUUAGUUUUGUUACUUUGGAGGGUGGGGAGUAGGGUGGGGAGGGAGAAAUAGAUAAAGAGAUAGAGAGUGCAGCAAGCCCCCAAAACUUGCCUAAGCUUUCACAGCCAUUUUUGGUCCAUGAUGAGAGCUGCCUGCCCAUGGAUAAUGUGUUUGCUCAAACACAUCAGAUUCAUCACCCCCACAGCACUGCAAGUGGCCAGUGCUGGAGGAUACUUCAGCAAAAAGAAAAUCCCACUGAAAGGAUAUUUUUACCCCCACCUCACAUCCACUAGCACCUUUGUUUCUGUUUCUGCUGAUGAUGUGAAGAUGAAAAGCAGAUAAAAAGCAAGCAAAAGAAAAGAAAAGAAAAAAAAAAAAAAAAGUAAUUUCAAGCAGUAAUCAUUGGAAGCACGGUUCUCCUUGAAAAGUCAGCCAUACCUGCUCAGUAAGCACUCUGAAUAGAGUUACAGACUUUUUCCAUUUUGUAGGAUCAGAUGAACCUGUGCCAGUGUUUCAGGGAGAGCUUCUGAAGCACUUUGGGCCAGGUUGUCAACAAGUGCAAAGAGUAUAACUUUUUUUGCCAGUGUGAAGGGUACUUGCAGCAUGAUCAGAAACAGGAUCUUCACAGUAAAGGCUUUUCACUUCAUUAAGAAUAGCAGAGAGAAAUAAGGGGCUGCUCUGUAUUAAGCAGCAAUGGCUGGAAAGUGCAACAUUCUAAGUAUGUAAUCUGUCGAUGUGAAAUUUCACAAUGGGCACAGAUCUAAUUUAGAAGUGAUCAUCCAGUGAAAUGAAACAAAAUCAAUUUUGCAUUUACCAGCUGCACACUAAAAUUGACUGUUACUGGGAAAGUUGACUUUAACAAAGUUAGCCAUCAACAGAUUCUUGUAUCUAAGAGCAAGAUGUGCUGAUACUGAUGUGCCUUUGUUAUAUUUUUUCCCCUGAAACUUCAAGUAGCAUAAUAACCCUGAGUUUUGAAUAAAUAUUAAGACAGAAAAAGAGUGGAUGACUUAUUUUUAAAGGAAAUACUAUUUUAUAGUUGUGUGAUUUGUAAUUGAAUUACAUUGUUUUCUCUUAAAAAUACAUGCAACGGUAAUUAAGUGUGAAAUUUUGGCAACCUAUAUUAAAGCUUAAAUAUAUUGUGCCUUAAUAACCUACUUCGCACAAAGAAAAAAAGAGGAGAUCCAGACAGUGCAUAAUUACUAACAAUAUUUUAAAGAAGAUUAUAAACACAAAGCAAAACAAACAAUAAAAUGGACUUGGAUACAGUUUACUGAAGUGAUAAUCCAGUCUGGGGACAGAUUCAGCCUCCCCAGCAAAUACAGAAAGACUGCUUUAUUCAUUUUAGUUUAUUCAGCACAGAACAUGUCAAUGAAGUGUUCCCUCAAAGCUGAAAAAUGGAAGUUAAAAGGAAACAAUGCUUACUGUGAAACAAGGUGUGGGAGUCAGGAAUCUAUUAAUUCUACCAUCUGAAAAAAUGUAGACCCUAUACCAACAAAUAUCCAAAUCAACUAAAGACUUGUAUCUUUUAGCAAGAAGUCAGAAACCUAAAGAGGACUUACAAGCUUAAGUAUUUAAUUAAAUUAGAUUUAUGUUUCCUUUAUUUGCAAUAUUUUCCUGCUUUAAAUGCAGAAAUAAAAGAGCAUUCAAAAUGAAAAUGCAAUUUGCAAAGACAUUUGAAUGACUCAGAUAACAGAGCAUUACAAACUUCAUGCAGAAAAUCUUCAGAGCUAUCCCAAGAAAGGAAGGGCUAAAGUUCUGAAAUCCUGAACAUAUGCGUUCUUAGUGAAAACUAAUACACUAAAUACACUGAGAUAGCAUGUAGAAGGGCAGGCAUUCUAGAGAAAAAUCAAAGAGGAGGUGAAAGGCCAGUAGCACUAUUCAACAGGUGUACCUGAGAUGAUACUGGAAGCUACGUCCUGUGGCAAAGCCUUGGCUGCAUAGCUAGGCAGAGACCUACCUAAAUGUUUGGUUAUCAUUAAAGAGACAGUAUUUCUUCUCUUUCUUCAAGAGAAUGAGUUUCUCUUUGCCCUCUCCCUAAAUCAAGCUUCAUCUUACA
Molecule: long non-coding RNA, 3698 nt
Organism: Anas platyrhynchos (mallard)
Lineage: Eukaryota; Metazoa; Chordata; Aves; Anseriformes; Anatidae
Source: RefSeq, a predicted model, not a curated record